CCUACGGGAGGCAGCAGUGGGGAAUUUUGGACAAUGGGCGCAAGCCUGAUCCAGCCAUGCCGCGUGCGGGAAGAAGGCCUUCGGGUUGUAAACCGCUUUUGUCAGGGAAGAAAUCCUUUGAGCUAACACCUCGGGGGGAUGACGGUACCUGAAGAAUAAGCACCGGCUAACUACGUGCCAGCAGCCGCGGUAAUACGUAGGGUGCGAGCGUUAAUCGGAAUUACUGGGCGUAAAGCGUGCGCAGGCGGUCUUGCAAGACAGGUGUGAAAUCCCCGGGCUUAACCUGGGAACUGCACUUGUGACUGCAAGGCUGGUGUACGGCAGAGGGGGGAUGGAAUUCCGCGUGUAGCAGUGAAAUGCGUAGAUAUGCGGAGGAACACCGAUGGCGAAGGCAAUCCCCUGGGCCUGUACUGACGCUCAUGCACGAAAGCGUGGGGAGCAAACAGGAUUAGAUACCCUGGUAGUCCACGCCCUAAACGAUGUCAACUGGUUGUUGGACGGCUUGCUGUUCNGUAACGAAGCUAACGCGUGAAGUUGACCGCCUGGGGAGUACGGCCGCAAGGUUGAAACUCAAAGGAUUGACGG
This 585-nucleotide ribosomal RNA is filed under the name uncultured bacterium. Its description in RNAcentral is "bacterial SSU rRNA". It matches the Rfam family "Bacterial small subunit ribosomal RNA", at positions 338 to 916 of the family's 1533-position model. The record is from RNAcentral.